CAGUCGCCGCGGUAAAACCGAGGAUGCAAGCGUUAUCCGGAAUGAUUGGGCGUAAAGCGUCUGUAGGUGGCUUUUCAAGUCCGCCGUCAAAUCCCAGGGCUCAACCCUGGACAGGCGGUGGAAACUACCAAGCUGGAGUACGGUAGGGGCAGAGGGAAUUUCCAGUGGAGCGGUGGAAUGCGUUGAGAUCGAAAAGAACACCAACAGCGAAAGCACUCUGCUGGGACGACACUGACACUAAGAGACGAAAGCUAGGGGAGCAAAUGGGAUUAGAUACCCCAGUAGUCCCUGUCUCUUAUAC
This 301-nucleotide ribosomal RNA is filed under the name uncultured bacterium. RNAcentral's name for it is "partial 16S ribosomal RNA". It matches the Rfam family "Bacterial small subunit ribosomal RNA", at positions 509 to 807 of the family's 1533-position model. The record is from RNAcentral.